GACGAACGCUGGCGGCGUGCUUAACACAUGCAAGUCGAACGGAAAGGCCCUGCUUUUGUGGGGUGCUCGAGUGGCGAACGGGUGAGUAACACGUGAGUAACCUGCCCUUGACUUUGGGAUAACUUCAGGAAACUGGGGCUAAUACCGGAUAGGAGCUCCUGCUGCAUGGUGGGGGUUGGAAAGUUUCGGCGGUUGGGGAUGGACUCGCGGCUUAUCAGCUUGUUGGUGGGGUAGUGGCUUACCAAGGCUUUGACGGGUAGCCGGCCUGAGUGGGUGACCGGCCACAUUGGGACUGAGAUACGGCCCAGACUCCUACGGGGGGCAGCAGUGGGGAAUUUUGCGCAAUGGGCGGAAGCCUGAUGCAGCCACGCCGCGUGCGGGAUGACGGCCUUCGGGUUGUAAACCGCUUUCGCCUGUGACGAAGCGUGAGUGACGGUAAUGGGUAAAGAAGCACCGGCUAACUACGUG
Molecule: ribosomal RNA, 468 nt
Filed under: uncultured bacterium
Lineage: Bacteria
Description: partial 16S ribosomal RNA
Rfam family: Bacterial small subunit ribosomal RNA
Source: RNAcentral